GGAGCAACAGUUGAAAGACCUGACUGUUCCACCUGCUGGUUUUGUGCCACCACCCUCAGUUGCAUACCUGGCUGGCAGAUGAUAGCCUUUCAGGGCUAUGGAGGACUCCCAAUGUAGCAAUGGAUACCUCCAGUAGUCCUUGACACAUUCCAUGAUCAUGUGCUCAGGCCUCCGGUUGCCUAGUAAUUACAAAGGGCAUCAAAGCUUAAAUCAAUCCCAGUUGUUUAUGCAGAUGUUGGAAACAGUAGCUCUCCUCCUACAUAUAAAUACUUCUGGCAUGCUAAUAUAUCUGGAUUUUAGAGGAAUAGGCAAAGAUUUUUGGUGGAACUGGCAAGGAAUACCCAUCCACUGUUAUUUAUUUCUUCAAUAAAAUUGGCCAAUUUAUCUGGUUGUCU
Long non-coding RNA from Telopea speciosissima, 395 nucleotides. RefSeq lists it as uncharacterized. The record is from RefSeq and is a predicted model, not a curated record. The transcript is spliced from 2 exons. NCBI's taxonomy places the organism in Eukaryota, Viridiplantae, Streptophyta, Magnoliopsida, Proteales, Proteaceae.